This 260-nucleotide ribosomal RNA is filed under the name uncultured bacterium. Its description in RNAcentral is "partial 16S ribosomal RNA". It matches the Rfam family "Bacterial small subunit ribosomal RNA", at positions 524 to 776 of the family's 1533-position model. The record is from RNAcentral.
UACGUAGGGUGCAAGCGUUAAUCGGAAUUACUGGGCGUAAAGCGUGCGCAGGCGGUUUUUGUAAGUCAGAUGUGAAAUCCCCCGGGCUUAACCUGGGAACUGCGUUUUGAAACUACAAGGCUAGAGUGUAGCAGAGGGGGGGUGGAAUUCCACGUGUAGCAGUGAAAAUGCGUAGAGAUGUGGAGGAACACCGAUGGGCGAAGGCAGCCCCCCUGGGUUAACACUGACGCUCAGGCACGAAAGCGUGGGGAGCAAACAGG